RNA transcript from Haplochromis burtoni (Burton's mouthbrooder), 8898 nucleotides. It is a transcript of the gene named tumor necrosis factor receptor superfamily member 14, with no coding region annotated. The transcript has 17 exons. NCBI's taxonomy places the organism in Eukaryota, Metazoa, Chordata, Actinopteri, Cichliformes, Cichlidae. The record is from RefSeq and is a predicted model, not a curated record.
GUGUGAAUGGGUGGAUGACUGGAUAUGUAAAGCGCUUUGGGGUCCUUAGGGACUAGUAAAGCGCUAUAUAAAUACAGGCCAUUUACCAUUUUAAUCAUGUCCUUCAAUUAAAGUGUUUCCGAGGUUUUAACUUUCUGAAAAUGAUUUGAUGGUCAAGGAGGACAUUUAAAAGAAGUCUUUGGAAAUGCAGCUAACAGGGAGAGGUACACAGGUAAGAUGGAAAUUUACACUCACCAGACAUUAGGUGCACCUUGCUGGUACUGGGAUGAAGCCCUUUCGUUUUCAUAACUGUCUUAAUUCUUUGUGGCAUACAGCCACAUGGCCUAUAUUGACAGAUUUGUCUGGUGCUCUUGGUCAGCAACAAUACUCUGGUAGGCUGUGCUAAGGAGUCCAAAGUGUGCCAAGAAAACAUCUCCUACACCAUUACACCACCUGUCUGAACAGCUGAUACAAGGCAGGAUGGAUUCAUUCUUUUAUGUUGUUUUAUGACAAAUUCUGACCGUACCAACAGAAUGUUGCAGCAGAAAUCAAAACUCAUCGGACCAGGUAACGUUUUUAAAGUCUUCUAUGCUUUGGUUCUAAAAAGUGGUUGUUUGAUUUACCGUUUCCUUCCUAUCAGCUUGAAACAAUCUGGCCAGUCUCCUCGACCUCUGGCAUUAACACGGCAUUUUCACUCAGAGAACUGCUGCUCACUGGAUAUUUUCUCUUUUUUUGAACCAUUCCCUGUAAACCCUGGAGAUGGUUGCGUGGAAAUAUUCCAAUAGAUCAGCAGUUUCUGAAAUACUCAGAGCAGCCAACACCAGCCAGCACCGAUAACCAUGUCAUUAAAUCACCUUUGUUUGAACUUUGUUUGAACAGGCCGUCUUGCCUAUGUCUACAUAUCUACAUGUAUUUUAACUGUAGGAUAUAUACUCUGUCCAUGCUGAUAAAUCCCACAAAUGGUGUCAUUGUGUUUAGCUUCAAGGAUGAUCGUGCGCUGUUACAUCCUCAGAAAACCAUGAAACCAUGAAAAUACGUGAAUAUAUCUGCAUGCCAUAGCAUUGGUCAUAUUGCUGAUGUUAGCAGGGUGGUGAUGGGAAGGCUACAACCACACCCUCCUAAUCUGUGAGUCAACCGGCAGGACCAGGUCUCCAAGGUCACGACCAAUGAGAUUGUGAGCAAUAUUUCACAUUAUUACUUUAUUUAGUAUUUCAAAAUACCACACCAGUGGAUGGAUCACAAAGCCUGAUUAUGUCAUGAACUGAAAAUGCAAAAUAUCUUUUUUUUCUGAAAAAAAGUAAAGCCAUCCUGACUGGUAUUUAUUGGUAUCAAUUAAGUAUACAUAAAAUUUAGUGGAAAAACAGUGCAGUGUUCAUAGGUACACAAUAUGUUUAAUUUGGCUGUAAUGCUUAAUUUCUUAGUCUGUGUUUAGUCUCUAAUGCCUGUUUCCCUUCUCAUAAUGUUCAGCUGUUCUUCUAUAAACAUUCAUCUAGAUGCAGCAGUGGUUUAAAAAAAAAUGUUGCCCAGGAGAAAGACUCUCAGAUUGCCUGCCUCUCUCUUAAUCGCUCACUUGCUCACUCAGCAUCCCUUUGGAAAUGCACCCCCACCCUCACACACACACAGCUGCUUUAAAAACAGCAGCAGCACUUCUGCACGGUGGGUCAAUGCUAGUAUCCCUGCACUUCUCUAAUUGAGUCCCUGAUGAGAGAUUUCCUGAGCUUGCUGUCUUUGAACGUCGAUAGCCGUCCACUGAAGCAUCCCCGCUUGUAGUCACAGUGUCAGUCUACAGCGUGCAACCUGAUUAAAAGACAUUUCCAAAACUAGGACGCAUCAUGCCUCUAAAUGUCUGGUCUCAAAGUGCAGUAUUCCCAGUUUUCCCAUUUUUAACAGUGCUGCUUGGUGACGGAUGAACUGGGAAAGAUGAGAGCCUUCUCAGAAAAUUUCAGUGAGCCUUUUUCAUGCCAUGUCAAGAUCUUCUUUUAGUUUUGUUCUUACACAAAGGAGUUAGCCUUUUUAGCCACAAUAGAUAUCCAAGACCUUCCAAUUUGAGUAGCAUCACCCAAGGUCAUGUAUAUGAUGAAGGAACCAAUUUAGAUCGUAUAACAAUCUGUAUAAUAUCUUAUAAAGUGUUCUUAUAUAAAAUAUUCUUACAUAAAGACAUGCAUUUAGUAGGGUUAAGUUAACUGGUAAUUCUAAACUGCACAUAGGUGUGAACGGGAGUGCGAAUGGUGUCCUGUCUCUAUGUGUUAGCCCUGUGACAGGCUGGUGAUCUGUUCAAGGUGUAGAUAUGGUAGCUGGGCUCCAGUCCGAUGGAUAAUCUCAGUAACAAGCUCUUUUUCCAUAUCAGCUCCAGCCUCUCAGUAUGGAGUUGUAACUGAUUAAUCUUAAUGGUGGGAGUCCUUGGUCAAGCGCAGUGCGGUUAUACACUCCAGGGUCUGUAAGUGUCUCUCAUAACAUUUUUGCCAUAGCACAUCUACACUUGCAUUUACACACUUAAGUUAAAUGAAGCAUAGAGUUUCAAUCAUCAGGACCCACUGAGUGACCUCCUCACAGCAACUACAGAGAAGACAUGUUCCUGCCCUUCAUUCAUUAUAUUAUGAAUAAAAUCAGGGAAGCAUGAAAAGGCAGGCAGGUCAUCUGUAAUAAUCUACCCACAGUGUAUGACAGGAGAAAUGUCCUUCAAGAGAUAAUGAACGAUUUAUGUCUCAUAACAAUGAGACCUAAACGCAGCAGAAGCUCCGGUGCCAGAUUCAAGACUUACAGUUUGAGCCUUCAGUGAGCAUUUUAACAAAUAUUCAAUUUUAGUGGGAGUGAAACAAAUACUCUUUAAUAUAUCAAGAAAUCUCUGUACGUGUCUGUGUGUGUUACACCCAUCUUUAGAAGGGGUCUAUUGCUGCAGUGUCAGCUGUUAAGGUCAUUGUUAUCAGAAGGGGUCUCACGUCUUGGUUUGGGGGUUUAAUGCAUGUUGUAAAGCAUUACAUGGCUGUCUGAAAAGAUAGUCAUGCUAAAAAAGUACAUCCAAAGUUGGGUACAUCCAAAAUCUUAGCAUUGAGCUAAUAAGUAGCCCAGUGCAGUUUUGUAGAAUACAAGUGCAGGACACUAUACCACAAGGUCACUGGACAGUAAGCAGUGCAGGUAAGAUUUAAGUGUUUUGAAUUGAGUUACUACUAAAACAGCAACAUAAAACAGAGGAACUUGAAUAUCUAAACCAUUUAUGCACCGAAGGGUCGGGUCGGUGUCACGUACCAAUUCAUUUAUCUUUGUGGUCUUCAGCGUCUGAUUAUUCACUGAGCAUUCAUCCCUGUAUGCUGACUCAUCUCCUCCUGUGAUGAACGCAACAACAGUCAACAAAUUUAAUUACGGUGUUGGAUGGGUGGACUAGUAUGCAGCUGUAAGCACAGACGGAGUGGAGGACUGGAAUCAGCACACAGUCUUGAGCUGUACCAGCGUUUAGUGUAAUGGAGGAAGAGAGGUGAGGGGCCUAUUUUGACUCUCUGUGGGCGGUCAGUGAGGAAGUCUUUGAUCCAGGUGCAGAUGAAGAUGAGGAGGCCAAAGUCUCGUAGCAAGCUGAUUAGGAUAUCAGGCGUGGUAUUGAAUACAGAGCUAAGGUCUCAUAGCUACCUAUAGUAGUAGUAAAGUUUGUGAGAGUGCACGCAUAUGGUUGAAUGUGUGCGUGUGUCCCCAGCACAUGUGUGCCAAGUUGCAGCGUAUGUUUUUUCAAGCUUCUAUUAAUUUUUUUAUUUACUGAGGAUUUAAAAAUUUAGAGAUGCUAGUUUGGUCACAGCAGCAGCUCAGGUGCCGAGCUGUGCCUCUGUGUGAAUUGAAAUGUUUGAUUCUGGAAGUAUUUAGAAUUUAUUUAUUUUAAUUCUGUAAUUUUUGAUCACAUGGAGUGGCCAAAAGCAUGGUGCCACUUAGACGAUGAGGUCUGUGCCCGGAGGAUAUUUACUUGUUGUGAGUUUAAACUUUAAAGACUGGAGUUUAAAUUGCCGUUAAGGAGCGUUAAUGUGGACUAUUUGUGGAAUUGUAUUGUUUGGAUCAGCCGUUUAUUGUCAGCUUUGGUUUGGUCUUUUUGUCUGGAAUGUUUUUCUUGGGCUAUGAAGACAGGUUAGUGCAAACAUUUUCAUUAAUGGUGUGCUAAGAGUGCAGCACUGGGAUCAGCACUUUCCAAAGACCUGAAGGCUCAACCUGAUGGCUGGAUAGCUGCCUUAGCAAAUAAUUUGCUGUCCAGUGGGAAACGUUUCCCACAUCUUACUGCUGAUGGCGUCGAGGUCUAAUGCCUGGUAGACCCUGCUACAUGAACCCACUUGAGGGGUGAGGGGGAUGGGGAUGGAGACGCAACUCACCAAACCAGCACAAAGAGUGCUGCUACUGCUAGGCAACCCCAUUACCAUCUCCAGUUUAUUGCAUUUCUGUAACCAUCCAGCUGAGGUCACAGCUGUUUAAGGGACUUGUUAUUAUAUAAAAGACAGCUGAAAUCAGUGAGUCUGUUGCUUCUGUGUUUUAGACACACACUAUUAGACACACAAAUGCACUUUGCUCACUGUAAAAGGUUUGCUGUCUGUACCUAAAAUCUGUAUGAUUCCUACAAUGAGCAACUAUUGUCCCCUGUAUGUGCUGAAGAGAGAAAGAGAGGAUUUUUGCAUUCAGGAGACAUUUGAGAGGUAACUUUGUGGCUGUGUUGUGUCAAACAGCAUAUUGCAGCCAAAAAGUGUUUGCAUACACUGUCUUGCUACAAAAAGUUAAUGAACUGUAAGUUCAUUGUGUAUUGUGCUGCGUUUAAACUGAGCACAAAGUGAAACCGAAAGAAAAGAUAAUGGAAUUUCCCCAGAAUCUUGCCAGCUCUUUUGUCUUCUCAGAAGACCUCAGCGUUUCUUCAUCUACACUGAAAGUUUUCAUCUCUUAAAGAGUCCCAAAACUUGUACGGGAAAGGUGCCACGUUGGAUUCAAAGCUCUGUGUUCUGUGUUUACUCUGUUGCCCUAAAGAGCUCUAAAGAGAUUUUAGUCAGGUUUUAAGUCGUCCACUCCGAAUCAUAACUCAAAACACUCACAUAACUCAACAGCCACCUGUGGCCUAAGUAACACAGAUAAUCUAAAACAGAGAGAAAGCUCACAGAGAAACGGUGCUGUGAUAGGCAGUACCUUCACUUCCAUAGUUCACACGGACUUCCCCUUCAUGCUCUGUAACAUUUUUUUCUUUACCUUCACUUUCACAGAGAAGCUGCUUUUCGUUUUAAUCGUUUAAUUUUCACGAACAGCAAAGAUUUACUGCGAUGGAAACCUAAAGACUUCAUCUUAUACCGCUGAGGAUGUUCUCCUGCUGUUUUAGAUCAUACAGCUCAUCUCCUUACAAAUCUCAGUGAGACGGUCUUCAGUUCAGGAAAGUCUUCAUUCUGCCGUAUAAAAUGACUUCAGGAGGAAAUUCUUUGACAGCUGCAGUGUUGCUGAUAAUAAUGAUGAAAGUCUUCAGUGUCCUCACUCAAUCAUGUCCAUCAACAAUGUAUCAAGCACAAGGCCUGUGCUGUCAAAAGUGUCCUGCAGGAAAUCGAGUCAAGACAGAUUGCACAAAGACUGCAAACACUUCCUGUGUGGCCUGCGAGGAUGGAACCCACAUGGAUAAGCCCAGCGGACUCAAACAAUGCACUCACUGCACAAUCUGUGACCUAACAUCCUGUCUAACAUGCGUCCUCUCUACGUGCUCACAGAUUUAAAUGUGAAGAAAAAGAGGGCAUGCACAACAACAUCAGAUACAAUUUGUGAACCACGGGAUGGAUUCUACUGUGUUGACUAUGACGGUGUUCAUUGUGUGGAAGCACAAGAACACAAACCCUGUAACCCAGGAGAAUACAUCAGCCAAGCAGGAACAGCCUUCAGAGACACUGAGUGCUCUGUGUGCAGCUAUGGGACAUUUUCAGAUGGAACUUUAAAGUUUUGCCGGCCACACAGACCAUGUGAGUCACUAAACCUUAAGCUGAUAAGACCAGGAAAUGCUACAACUGAUGCUCAGUGUGAAGAACAAGAUGAGAAUGUGGUUCUUUCUUGGAUCAUCACUGGCUGCCUGUUACUGAUUUUAUUAAUUGUGAUACUUAUAGCUUUGUGUCUCUGUAGAAAGGAGAUUGGAUGUCUAAAACGAGGCGAAAAAAUAAUUGUACACCUAAUCAACUUGAGGAAGAAUGAAGAAAAAGAAACAGAAAUAGAACUGAAAAUACUGAAUGAGAAACCAGUGUGAAACUAUAUGAAGAUUAACAGAAGAGACCCCACCUGCUUGAUCCACCUAGUCGCAGUUUUUUCCUCCAGUAGUCAACCACCAGCUCUUUUUGUCUUGCUGACAUUAAGGAGGUGAUUUUUACCCGACCACUCCACAAAGUUCCCCGACAGCUCCCUAGACUCCGACUCCUGCUCACCCUUAACCCGCCCAUUCACUAUAGUGACAUCAGAGAACUUCUGCAGGUGGCAUGAUUCACUGUUGCACUGAAAAUCUGAGGUGUACAAAGUGAACAUGAAUGGAGACUGGACCGUCCCCUGUGGUGCCCAAGUAUUACUAACCACCACAUCACACAUGGUGCCUAACAUCAAUAGAAACUGAGGCCUCUCUGAUAAUGGAUGGCGCAAUGUAGAGGAAUAAAAGUACUGUAUAAAGCAGCAGUAAAUGGAAAAGGCUGCAUUUAUACAUGUCAGCUAGGAAAGCUUCUAGUCCUCCUGAGUCUGUUCAGUGGUGUGAAAGCAGAAAGUAAAAACAUACUCAAGUAUCAUACCAAAAACAUACCAAAGAAAGGCAAAUAAAUGAUAUUUUAUUAGGUCAAAGUAUAUUUCAGAGUGGAUGAUAGAAAAUGGAUAGGUUUUUUCCAGAUAACAGCUAAAAUCAGAUGAAGGUGAUAUAGUGCAUUAGUAACAGGAGCUUCAUCCCAUACAUUUGAAUUCAUGUGCACUGUUUCAGUGUGAUGCUGCUGUGACUGAGCUUUUUGAGUGACAGCAAAAGAUCAUACCACAAUCUAAAGAAGCUGAAGAAAAGACUUUUUUAAUAUUUUAUUUAUGUAAUUCUGAGCAAUAAAAGUUCAUUUUUAUAUUAUACAGUUUAUUUCCUCUUAUUUUGGAGCACAAAGCUGAUUCAUGUCAUUCACAAUACAGCUAAAGUCACAUCAGUUUAAGGAACUUCUUAUUACAUUAAAAAAGCAACUGACAUCAGUGUGUGUAAUGUUUCUGUACGUCAUGGAGUUACAUUUAGGCACACAAGCUUUCCAUUAUGGGCUGAUCACUGUUCAGAAAUGAAUAGUAAGGUUUGAAAGGGCUGAAAUGAGCAUCAGCAAUACACUGUGUGUGCGUGUGUGUGUGUAUUCUGCCAUUAGAGAUGUUUACACUGAGCAAAACAAAGUGAAACUGAAAGACAAGAGUUCAGAAUUACGCAACCCGACAGACUUCUGUUUUUCUUCAUCUAUACUAAGUGUUUUCAUUUCUAAGAGUACCAAUAUAUAUGAGAAAAGCAUCUGUUUGCUCUGUGAAGAGAUUUUAAAGAGUUAAAGCUCAUUUAAAGUUCAUUAAGACUCUCAGAAUUAGUCUGCUCCAGCUCAUCAUAGUGUAUGACAGCCACUUUUACCUCACAGAGGUCAUAUAAAAAUGAAAGUACAGUAGGAAAAUAUGGAGGUCUACGAGUCCCAUAAUGAAUUAAAUAAACAUAUCCUUAAACAUUCAAUCAGAUGUGGCGUUAAUCAAUUACAAUUGGACCCAAAAUUUUUCAAUUGCCCAUAGAUGUGAAUGUGAGUGUGAAUAAUUGUUUGGGUCAUGAAACAAGCAGCUUGCCCAAGGUGUACCUUGCCUCUGGCACUAUUACCCACCGACCGCUCCCAACUCGACACUCCUCCAUACGAAACCGGCCAUAUGAUGUCAUGACGGACUGCGCGUUUGUUCUCUUCUGUAUGUUCUGCGCACUUUCGCUUUCUCCCUGAAGCUUAGCCGUUGUUUUUAAUUUUCAAGAAACGGCAGAUGUUUACUUUCCAGUUCGUCUUGAACUAUUCAGCCUACGGUGCGCUGUGACGGAGACUCUCCGAACUUCGUCUUGUACCGCUGACGGCUGUACACCUUAAACAAGCUGCAGGUGCAACAGCAAGUGAAGACUUUGUCAAAGAACAUCUGCAGAUGUUCUCCUGCUGUUUUAGAUCAUACAGCUCAUCUCCUUGCAAAUCUCAGUGAGACGGUCUUCAGUUCAGGAAAGUCUUCAUUCUGCUGUAUAAAAUGACUUCAGGAGGAAAUUCUUUGACAGCUGCAGUGUUGCUGUUAAUCAUGAUGAAAGUCUUCAGUGUCCUCACUCUCUCGUGUUCUUCAACAAUGUAUCAAGCACAAGACCUAUGCUGUCAAAAGUGUCCUGCAGGAAAUCGAGUCAAGACAGAUUGCACAGAGACUGCACACACUUCCUGUGUGGCCUGCGAGGAUGGAACCCACAUGGAUAAGCCCAGUGGACUCAAACAAUGCACUCACUGCACAAUCUGUGACCUAAGUUUUGGUCUGAAGGAGAACAGGACAUGCACAUCAACAUUAGAUACAGUUUGUAAACCAGAGGAUGGAUUCUACUGUGUUGACGUCGCAGCUGGUAGCUGCAUGGCAGCACACAAACACAGGCAAUGUCAACCAGGAGAAUACAUCAGCCAAACAGGAACAGCCUUCAGAGACACUGAGUGCUCUGACUGCAGCAAUGGGACAUUUUCAGAUGGGACUUUAAAGUUUUGUCGGCCACACAGACCAUGUGAAUCACUAAACCUUAAGCUGAUAAGACCAGGAAAUGCUACAACUGAUGCUCAGUGUGAAGAACAAGAUCAGGAUAAUGUGGUCCCAAUCAUCAUUGGCUGCUUGUUGACGAUUUUAGUUAUUGGCAUAGUUAUAGUUAUAGUUAUUUAUGUCAAAAGAAAGACUCUGUGUCCAAAAAGAGGU